This 1737-nucleotide long non-coding RNA is filed under the name Carassius auratus (goldfish). RNAcentral's name for it is "lncRNA (ENSCARG00000013965.1)". Lineage: Eukaryota; Metazoa; Chordata; Actinopteri; Cypriniformes; Cyprinidae. The record is from RNAcentral.
AUGAACCGACCACCAAGGAACUCAGCAGACAGGAGGCAAUGCUGGAUGGCAUCAGCCAGCCAGCGAGAUUGUUUUGAGGGCUCUCGCCUUGUGGUGUUCCGGGGGACCAGGGGAGGUCGUUCCGGAGCGAGCGGGCGAGAGGAGGAGCCCCAGAGGUCCCCACCUACCCAGCUGCCGGUGAUCCCGGAGGGUCGUGUCCUGGCCGUGGCAACCCUGGGGGGUCAGGCAAGCCCCUCCCAGAGUCCUGAGGUGCCCUCCUCAGCCAGCAGUCUCCCCAUGAAACGAGGGAGACGGUUUUCAUGGGAGUCAACUUCUGAGUCUUCGGCGUCCGAGACUGCCCUGCCCGAGACCAAACUCCCCCAACCCGCCUCUGACCCAGCUGUGGCCUCUGCACCGCGCCCAAGGAGGAAGAGGAGGAAGAGGGGGCCUGCCGGUCCUGUGACCCUGUCUCCUCCCGUGCCAGCAGCGGAGAGCGCUGGCGUGCCCGUGCCAGCAGCGGAGAGCGCUGGCGUGCCCGUGCCAGCAGCGGAGAGCGCUGGCGUGCCCGUGCCAGCAGCGGAGAGCGCUGGCGUGCCCGUGCCAGCAGCGGAGAGCGCUGGCGUGCCCGUGCCAGCAGCGGAGAGCGCUGGCGUGCCCGUGCCAGCAGCGGAGAGCGCUGGCGUGCCCGUGCCAGCAGCGGAGAGCGCUGGCGUGCCCGUGCCAGCAGCGGAGAGCGCUGGCGUGCCCGUGCCAGCAGCGGUGGGCGUGCCCGUGCCAGCAGCGGUGGGCGUUCCCGUGCCAGCAGCGGUGAGCGUGCCCGAGCCAGCAGCGGAGAGAGCUGGCGUGCCCGUGCCAGCAGCGGUGAGAGCUGGCGUGCCCGUGCCAGCAGCGGUGAGCGUGUCCGAGCCAGCAGCGGUGAGCGCUGGCGUGCCCGAGCCGGCAAAGAAGAGGGCAGUAUGCAAGUCGGCAGUCGUGAGAGCGCAGGAGAGUGCCGCGGCCGGCUCUGCAGCAAAGACUUUAGUUCAGUGUGUCUCAUCUCGUAAGGAGAUGCCAAUUGUCUUAGCGGCUAAAUCCUUUUCAGAUUAUUUGUCUAGUCUUGUCCGUAUCCUAGAAGUCCCCGUCAGUCCUGUCUUGUCCUCAGACCCUGUCCCCAGAAAUCCCGAGUGUCCUGAUGUCGUCUCCCCGUGUCCCGUAGAUGUUGUCUCCCCGUGUCCCGUGAGUGUUGCCCCGUGUCCUGCUGAUGAAGUCAUGUAUCCUGUUGAUGUGGCCCCGUGUCCCGUAGAUGUCCCGUGUCCUGUUGUCCCCCCGUGUCCAGUAGAUAUUGUCCCGUGUCCAGUAGAUGUUGUCGUCCCGUGUCCAGUAGAUGUUGUCCCCCCGUGUCCAGCUGUCGUCUCCCCGCGUCCCGUAAGUCUUGCCCCGCGUCCCGUAAGUGUUGCCCCGCGUCCCUUGUCUGCUCCUGUCAUGUCCCCUGUCAGUUGUCCCGAGACCCCUCCCCGCCCCUCACCACCCAGACCUGCCCGUACCCCCCGUCGUCAGCCUUCGUCCUGUCCUCCUAAAACUCCUGCCCCACCCACUCACCCUGAUCUGUCCCCCAUGAACUUUGUGGUCCCGCCUCCUCCCCUUCCCUGUUUGUUUUUUUUGAUUUGUCACCCUAACCCUGCCGUCGUGUAUUCAUGUCUGCCUUUGUUAUUAUUUGUCAUGUCUUGUUGGUUUGUGUCGGUGUCCCAGUCUGUCAUGUCAGUCGUGUCCCGUGUUUGA